Molecule: unclassified non-coding RNA, 71 nt
Organism: Panthera pardus (leopard)
Lineage: Eukaryota; Metazoa; Chordata; Mammalia; Carnivora; Felidae
Source: Ensembl
ACUGAGAUGGCUGUUCCUUUGUCCAGAUCUCAUUUUUACAUAGCAAUGGAAGGAUUAAUUCCUCCUAUCCU